Molecule: ribosomal RNA, 3112 nt
Filed under: Salmonella enterica
Lineage: Bacteria; Pseudomonadati; Pseudomonadota; Gammaproteobacteria; Enterobacterales; Enterobacteriaceae
Also listed under: 1 other name
Description: 23S ribosomal RNA
Rfam family: Bacterial large subunit ribosomal RNA
Source: RNAcentral
GGGUUGUGAGGUUAAGCGACUAAGCGUACACGGUGGAUGCCCUGGCAGUCAGAGGCGAUGAAGGGCGUGCUAAUCUGCGAUAAGCGCCGGUAAGGUGAUAUGAACCGUUAUAACCGGCGAUACCCGAAUGGGGAAACCCAGUGUGAUUCGUCACACUAUCAUUAACUGAAUCCAUAGGUUAAUGAGGCGAACCGGGGGAACUGAAACAUCUAAGUACCCCGAGGAAAAGAAAUCAACCGAGAUUCCCCCAGUAGCGGCGAGCGAACGGGGAGGAGCCCAGAGCCUGAAUCAGCAUGUGUGUUAGUGGAAGCGUCUGGAAAGGCGCGCGAUACAGGGUGACAGCCCCGUACACAAAAGCGCAUGUGCUGUGAGCUCGAUGAGUAGGGCGGGACACGUGGUAUCCUGUCUGAAUAUGGGGGGACCAUCCUCCAAGGCUAAAUACUCCUGACUGACCGAUAGUGAACCAGUACCGUGAGGGAAAGGCGAAAAGAACCCCGGCGAGGGGAGUGAAAAAGAACCUGAAACCGUGUACGUACAAGCAGUGGGAGCCCCACCACUAAGCCAGUGGUGAACUCCACAUCCGCAUCCUUUGCUGAGGAUACGGUUAACGGAGCGAAAGCGACGUUCAACCGCAAAACAAGCAGAGGGGGCUUAGUGGUGGGGUGACUGCGUACCUUUUGUAUAAUGGGUCAGCGACUUAUAUUCUGUAGCAAGGUUAACCGAAUAGGGGAGCCGGAGGGAAACCGAGUCUUAAUUGGGCGUUAAGUUGCAGGGUAUAGACCCGAAACCCGGUGAUCUAGCCAUGGGCAGGUUGAAGGUUGGGUAACACUAACUGGAGGACCGAACCGACUAAUGUUGAAAAAUUAGCGGAUGACCUGUGGCUGGGGGUGAAAGGCCAAUCAAACCGGGAGAUAGCUGGUUCUCCCCGAAAGCUAUUUAGGUAGCGCCUCGUGAAUUCAUCUCCGGGGGUAGAGCACUGUUUCGGCUAGGGGGCCAUCCCGGCUUACCAACCCGAUGCAAACUGCGAAUACCGGAGAAUGUUAUCACGGGAGACACACGGCGGGUGCUAACGUCCGUCGUGAAGAGGGAAACAACCCAGACCGCCAGCUAAGGUCCCAAAGUCAUGGUUAAGUGGGAAACGAUGUGGGAAGGCCCAGACAGCCAGGAUGUUGGCUUAGAAGCAGCCAUCAUUUAAAGAAAGCGUAAUAGCUCACUGGUCGAGUCGGCCUGCGCGGAAGAUGUAACGGGGCUAAACCAUGCACCGAAGCUGCGGCAGCGAACGUAUCACCCAAGACAACUUUACGGAGUUGACGAUUGACGGAGCGAAGCGACGUCAAAGCGUUCAUUAAAGUCGAGUUGGCUUAGGGAUACGUUCGUUGGGUAGGGGAGCGUUCUGUAAGCCUGUGAAGGUGUGUCGUGAGGCAUGCUGGAGGUAUCAGAAGUGCGAAUGCUGACAUAAGUAACGAUAAAGCGGGUGAAAAGCCCGCUCGCCGGAAGACCAAGGGUUCCUGUCCAACGUUAAUCGGGGCAGGGUGAGUCGACCCCUAAGGCGAGGCCGAAAGGCGUAGUCGAUGGGAAACGGGUUAAUAUUCCCGUACUUGGUGUUACUGCGAAGGGGGGACGGAGAAGGCUAUGUUGGCCGGGCGACGGUUGUCCCGGUUUAAGCGUGUAGGUGUGUGUUCCAGGUAAAUCCGGUUCACUUUAACACUGAGGCGUGACGACGAGGCACUACGGUGCUGAAGCAACAAAUGCCCUGCUUCCAGGAAAAGCCUCUAAGCAUCAGGUAACAUCAAAUCGUACCCCAAACCGACACAGGUGGUCAGGUAGAGAAUACCAAGGCGCUUGAGAGAACUCGGGUGAAGGAACUAGGCAAAAUGGUGCCGUAACUUCGGGAGAAGGCACGCUGACACGUAGGUGAAGUGAUUUACUCAUGGAGCUGAAGUCAGUCGAAGAUACCAGCUGGCUGCAACUGUUUAUUAAAAACACAGCACUGUGCAAACACGAAAGUGGACGUAUACGGUGUGACGCCUGCCCGGUGCCGGAAGGUUAAUUGAUGGGGUCAGCGCAAGCGAAGCUCCUGAUCGAAGCCCCGGUAAACGGCGGCCGUAACUAUAACGGUCCUAAGGUAGCGAAAUUCCUUGUCGGGUAAGUUCCGACCUGCACGAAUGGCGUAAUGAUGGCCAGGCUGUCUCCACCCGAGACUCAGUGAAAUUGAACUCGCUGUGAAGAUGCAGUGUACCCGCGGCAAGACGGAAAGACCCCGUGAACCUUUACUAUAGCUUGACACUGAACAUUGAGCCUUGAUGUGUAGGAUAGGUGGGAGGCUUUGAAGUGUGGACGCCAGUCUGCAUGGAGCCGACCUUGAAAUACCACCCUUUAAUGUUUGAUGUUCUAACGUGGACCCGUUACCCGGGUUGCGGACAGUGUCUGGUGGGUAGUUUGACUGGGGCGGUCUCCUCCUAAAGAGUAACGGAGGAGCACGAAGGUUGGCUAAUCCUGGUCGGACAUCAGGAGGUUAGUGCAAUGGCAUAAGCCAGCUUGACUGCGAGCGUGACGGCGCGAGCAGGUGCGAAAGCAGGUCAUAGUGAUCCGGUGGUUCUGAAUGGAAGGGCCAUCGCUCAACGGAUAAAAGGUACUCCGGGGAUAACAGGCUGAUACCGCCCAAGAGUUCAUAUCGACGGCGGUGUUUGGCACCUCGAUGUCGGCUCAUCACAUCCUGGGGCUGAAGUAGGUCCCAAGGGUAUGGCUGUUCGCCAUUUAAAGUGGUACGCGAGCUGGGUUUAGAACGUCGUGAGACAGUUCGGUCCCUAUCUGCCGUGGGAGCUGGAGAACUGAGGGGGGCUGCUCCUAGUACGAGAGGACCGGAGUGGACGCAUCACUGGUGUUCGGGUUGUCAUGCCAAUGGCACUGCCCGGUAGCUAAAUGCGGAAGAGAUAAGUGCUGAAAGCAUCUAAGCACGAAACUUGCCCCGAGAUGAGUUCUCCCUGAGACUUAGAGUCUCCUGAAGGAACGUUGAAGACGACGACGUUGAUAGGCCGGGUGUGUAAGCGCAGCGAUGCGUUGAGCUAACCGGUACUAAUGAACCGUGAGGCUUAACCUUACAACGCCGAAG